RNAcentral lists this ribosomal RNA (465 nucleotides) under Vreelandella stevensii. RNAcentral's name for it is "partial 16S ribosomal RNA". It matches the Rfam family "Bacterial small subunit ribosomal RNA", at positions 338 to 795 of the family's 1533-position model. Lineage: Bacteria; Pseudomonadati; Pseudomonadota; Gammaproteobacteria; Oceanospirillales; Halomonadaceae. The record is from RNAcentral.
CCUACGGGUGGCUGCAGUGGGGAAUAUUGGACAAUGGGCGAAAGCCUGAUCCAGCCAUGCCGCGUGUGUGAAGAAGGCCUUCGGGUUGUAAAGCACUUUCAGUGGGGAAGAAAGCCUUGGGGCUAAUACCCUCGAGGAAGGACAUCACCCACAGAAGAAGCACCGGCUAACUCCGUGCCAGCAGCCGCGGUAAUACGGAGGGUGCGAGCGUUAAUCGGAAUUACUGGGCGUAAAGCGCGCGUAGGCGGUCUGAUAAGCCGGUUGUGAAAGCCCCGGGCUCAACCUGGGAACAGCAUCCGGAACUGUCAGGCUAGAGUGCAGGAGAGGAAGGUAGAAUUCCCGGUGUAGCGGUGAAAUGCGUAGAGAUCGGGAGGAAUACCAGUGGCGAAGGCGGCCUUCUGGACUGACACUGACGCUGAGGUGCGAAAGCGUGGGUAGCAAACAGGAUUAGAUACCCCUGUAGUC